UCCCAUUCGUCAGUUCUCAAACAAGUACAAAAGCUUGAUAUAGACUCAUGAUUACCCUGUCUGCAGCAUCCUAUCUUCGUCAUGACAUGAUUUGUCUCCUCUUUCAUGAAUUAUCUAUCAUUGGAAAAAUAAGCACGAUAGAAAAAAAUCGAAUAAGCAUCGGACUUGGGGAAUUUGUGAAAGGGGAUGGGGUUAACAUAUAUAGGCCUGAGGCCAGAAUUAUAGUUGGAUAACUAAUGUGCAUGGGGCUCUGAGGACCUUUAGUACAAUCCAUUUAAGACCCACAUACCCACUCUGCGAUCUCUACAAUUCAUCGUCAACUGUGGCAUACUCUUGUUGGUUAUGAUUGUUUACGUGACUAAGAUGAAGAUAAAAGGUUCUUCAUCUCGAAUGAGCGAACUACAGACCUAAUGAAGUUGUCUCUUUUCACAUUUUAUGAUCGUUGACAUUUCAGUCAUUAGAUUAGAAUAUCAAAUCAUUCAUUUCAAUUGAAUAAUAAUCAAUGCUUUCUGAAUCAUCUGAUAGAACCAAUUAUGUCUACCAGUUGAAGCCUUCUCCAUUAACUAUCAACCUUAAAAAUCUAUCUUCUUUAUGGUUUUCCCAUGCUAUAGUCCUGCUUAUGUAAAGGGGGUCUAAUUGAAUCCUUAGCUAGUCUGGUGCCACUAUUUGUUGUUGCCAGGACUAAUAGACCUCCACAUUGGCGCAUGUUAGCAGCCAAAUGAAAAGCAAUUAGCAUUGGUGGUAAUUGUUGGAAAUAGGAGGCUAUAUAUAUAUAUAUAUAUAUAUAUUAUUUGUGGAGGAGAGGAUUGAUGAUUUAGAAGCUUGAUUGAUCUUGAAUGCUUUGCUUAUUGCUUAAUUACAA
Molecule: long non-coding RNA, 862 nt
Filed under: Nicotiana benthamiana
Lineage: Eukaryota; Viridiplantae; Streptophyta; Magnoliopsida; Solanales; Solanaceae
Description: long non-coding RNA (NBEN_LNC002540)
Source: RNAcentral